AAUUAAAUACCUGAUUGACCGUAGACAGUGGGUGGCUUUUGGAGCCUUAAUAGUUUGGCCCACCGAGGUCAGAGGAAAAUAGGUUCAAACAGCCGGUAACCUCUGCGUCUUGGUGUCUGCGGAGGUUUUGUUUUUUUGUA
Syntrophothermus lipocalidus DSM 12680 is the source of this 140-nucleotide regulatory RNA element. It matches the Rfam family "Ribosomal protein L10 leader". From Rfam's summary of the family: This family is a putative r-protein leader autoregulatory structure found in B. subtilis and other low-GC Gram-positive bacteria. It is located in the 5' untranslated regions of mRNAs encoding ribosomal proteins L10 and L12 (rplJ-rplL). NCBI's taxonomy places the organism in Bacteria, Bacillati, Bacillota, Clostridia, Eubacteriales, Syntrophomonadaceae. The record is from Rfam.